This 433-nucleotide ribosomal RNA is filed under the name uncultured bacterium. Its description in RNAcentral is "partial 16S ribosomal RNA". It matches the Rfam family "Bacterial small subunit ribosomal RNA", at positions 29 to 507 of the family's 1533-position model. The record is from RNAcentral.
AACGAACGCUGGCGGCAUGCCUAACACAUGCAAGUCGAACGAGACCUUCGGGUCUAGUGGCGCACGGGUGCGUAACGUGUGGGAACCUGCCCUUAGGUUCGGAAUAACUCCCCGAAAGGGGUGCUAAUACCGGAUAAUGUCUUCGGACCAAAGAUUUAUCGCCUUUGGAUGGGCCCGCGUUGGAUUAGCUAGUUGGUAGUGUAAAAGCCUACCAAGGCGACGAUCCAUAGCUGGUCUGAGAGGAUGAUCAGCCACACUGGGACUGAGACACGGCCCAGACUCCUACGGGAGGCAGCAGUGGGGAAUAUUGGACAAUGGGCGAAAGCCUGAUCCAGCAAUGCCGCGUGAGUGAUGAAGGCCUUAGGGUUGUAAAGCUCUUUUACCCGGGAUGAUAAUGACAGUACCGGGAGAAUAAGCGCCGGCUAACUCCGUG